GACGAACGCUGGCGGCGUGCUUAACACAUGCAAGUCGAACGGAAAGGCCCUGCUUUUGUGGGGUGCUCGAGUGGCGAACGGGUGAGUAACACGUGAGUAACCUGCCCUUGACUUUGGGAUAACUUCAGGAAACUGGGGCUAAUACCGGAUAGGAGCUCCUGCUGCAUGGUGGGGGUUGGAAAGUUUCGGCGGUUGGGGAUGGACUCGCGGCUUAUCAGCUUGUUGGUGGGGUAGUGGCUUACCAAGGCUUUGACGGGUAGCCGGCCUGAGAGGGUGACCGGCCACAUGGGGACUGAGAUACGGCCCAGACUCCUACGGGAGGCAGCAGUGGGGAAUAUUGCACAAUGGGCGGAAGCCUGAUGCAGCAACGCCGCGUGCGGGAUGAAGGCCUUCGGGUUGUAAACCGCUGUCGCCUGUGACGAAGCGUGAGUGACGGUAAUGGGUAAAGAAGCACCGGCUAACUACGUG
This 468-nucleotide ribosomal RNA is filed under the name uncultured bacterium. Its description in RNAcentral is "partial 16S ribosomal RNA". It matches the Rfam family "Bacterial small subunit ribosomal RNA", at positions 28 to 507 of the family's 1533-position model. The record is from RNAcentral.